This 109-nucleotide small nucleolar RNA is filed under the name Gossypium hirsutum (cotton). Its description in RNAcentral is "Plant small nucleolar RNA R71". It matches the Rfam family "Plant small nucleolar RNA R71". Rfam says of the family: R71 is a member of the C/D box family of snoRNAs containing the C (UGAUGA) and D (CUGA) box motifs. Multiple nearly identical copies of this snoRNA have been identified in Arabidopsis, and it is thought to function as a 2'-O-ribose methylation guide for 18S ribosomal RNA. Lineage: Eukaryota; Viridiplantae; Streptophyta; Magnoliopsida; Malvales; Malvaceae. The record is from Rfam by way of RNAcentral.
AACCCAUGGUGAGGGCAUCUUCUCAAGAGGUCCUUGUAUCUCUCUCAUUCAUCGUGUAGUGUUUUUCUAAAUCCAUCUGCACAAAGAAAGAAAUAUCAUUACGUAAUUU